This 429-nucleotide ribosomal RNA is filed under the name Chloroflexota bacterium. RNAcentral's name for it is "Chloroflexi bacterium partial 16S ribosomal RNA". It matches the Rfam family "Bacterial small subunit ribosomal RNA", at positions 355 to 776 of the family's 1533-position model. The record is from RNAcentral. Lineage: Bacteria; Bacillati; Chloroflexota.
UGGGGAAUAUUGCACAAUGGGCGCAAGCCUGAUGCAGCCAUGCCGCGUGUGUGAAGAAGGCCUUCGGGUUGUAAAGCACUUUCAGCGGGGAGGAAGGCGGUGAGGUUAAUAACCUCAUCGAUUGACGUUACCCGCAGAAGAAGCACCGGCUAACUCCGUGCCAGCAGCCGCGGUAAUACGGAGGGUGCAAGCGUUAAUCGGAAUUACUGGGCGUAAAGCGCACGCAGGCGGUUUGUUAAGUCAGAUGUGAAAUCCUCGGGCUCAACCUGGGAACUGCAUCUGAAAAUGGCAAGCUUGAGUCUCGUAGAGGGGGGUAGAAUUCCAGGUGUAGCGGUGAAAUGCGUAGAGAUCUGGAGGAAUACCGGUGGCGAAGGCGGCCCCCUGGACGAAGACUGACGCUCAGGUGCGAAAGCGUGGGGAGCAAACAGG